This 253-nucleotide ribosomal RNA is filed under the name uncultured bacterium. RNAcentral describes it as "partial 16S ribosomal RNA". It matches the Rfam family "Bacterial small subunit ribosomal RNA", at positions 524 to 776 of the family's 1533-position model. The record is from RNAcentral.
UACAUGUGGGGCAAGCGUUGUUCGGAAUUACUGGGCGUAAAGGGCUCGUAGGUGGCCAACUAAGUCAGACGUGAAAUCCCUCAGCUUAACUGGGGAACUGCGUCUGAUACUGGAUGGCUUGAGUUUGGGAGAGGGAUGCGGAAUUCCAGGUGUAGCGGUGAAAUGCGUAGAUAUCUGGAGGAACACCGGUGGCGAAGGCGGCAUCCUGGACCAACACUGACACUGAGGAGCGAAAGCCAGGGGAGCAAACGGG